RNAcentral lists this non-coding RNA (114 nucleotides) under Afipia sp. RNAcentral describes it as "TPP sequence". It matches the Rfam family "TPP riboswitch aptamer (THI element)". Rfam says of the family: Vitamin B(1) in its active form thiamin pyrophosphate (TPP) is an essential coenzyme that is synthesised by coupling of pyrimidine and thiazole moieties in bacteria. The previously detected thiamin-regulatory element, thi box was extended, resulting in a new, highly conserved RNA secondary structure, the THI element, which is widely distributed in eubacteria and also occurs in some archaea. The record is from RNAcentral. Lineage: Bacteria; Pseudomonadati; Pseudomonadota; Alphaproteobacteria; Hyphomicrobiales; Nitrobacteraceae.
UGUUGUUCCGAGGGGAGCUUCGUCAAGGAGCUGAGAAACCGCUGGAUCGUGCUGCGGUGACCCUUUGAACCUGAUCCGGGUCGUGCCGGCGAAGGGACUGGAUGUAUCAGGAGC